UAGAAAAACAAAUUUCCCUUCUAUUGUUGGUC
Molecule: non-coding RNA, 32 nt
Filed under: Rattus norvegicus (Norway rat)
Lineage: Eukaryota; Metazoa; Chordata; Mammalia; Rodentia; Muridae
Source: RNAcentral